GAUGAACGCUGGCGGCGUGCCUAAUACAUGCAAGUCGAGCGAACGGACGAGAAGCUUGCUUCUCUGAUGUUAGCGGCGGACGGGUGAGUAACACGUGGAUAACCUACCUAUAAGACUGGGAUAACUUCGGGAAACCGUAGCUAAUACCGGAUAAUAUUUUGAGCCGCAUGGUUCAAAAGUGAAAGACGGUCUUGCUGUCACUUAUAGAUUGAUCCGCGCUGCAUUAGCUAGUUGGUAAGGUAACGGCUUACCAAGGCAACGAUGCAUAGCCGACCUGAGAGGGUGAUCGGCCACACUGGAACUGAGACACGGUCCAGACUCCUACGGGAGGCAGCAGUAGGGAAUCUUCCGCAAUGGGCGAAAGCCUGACGGAGCAACGCCGCGUGAGUGAUGAAGGUCUUCGGAUCGUAAAACUCUGUUAUUAGGGAAGAACAUAUGUGUAAGUAACUGUGCACAUCUUGACGGUACCUAAUCAGAAAGCCACGGCUAACUACGUG
Molecule: ribosomal RNA, 497 nt
Filed under: uncultured bacterium
Lineage: Bacteria
Description: partial 16S ribosomal RNA
Rfam family: Bacterial small subunit ribosomal RNA
Source: RNAcentral